UACGUAGGUGGCAAGCGUUGUCCGGAUUUACUGGGUGUAAAGGGCGUGUAGCCGGGCUGACAAAUCAGAUGUGAAAUCCGGGGGCUCAACCCCCGAACUGCAUUUGAAACUGUUGGUCUUGAGUAUCGGAGAGGCAGGCGGAAUUCCUAGUGUAGCGGUGAAAUGCGUAGAUAUUAGGAGGAACACCAGUGGCGAAGGCGGCCUGCUGGACGACAACUGACGGUGAGGCGCGAAAGCGUGGGGAGCAAACAGG
Molecule: ribosomal RNA, 253 nt
Filed under: uncultured bacterium
Lineage: Bacteria
Description: partial 16S ribosomal RNA
Rfam family: Bacterial small subunit ribosomal RNA
Source: RNAcentral